UCCAGUUGUUUGGGGAAUGCAGCUCUAAGUGGGUGGGUAAAUUCCAUCUAAAGCUAAAUAUUGGCGAGAGACCGAUAGCCGAACAAGUACAGUGAUGGAAAGAUGAAAAGAACUUUGAAAAGAGAGUGAAAAAGUACCUGAAAUUGUUUGAAAGGGAAGGGUUUGAGAUCAGACUCGAUAUUUUGUGAGCCCUUGCCUUCGUGGCGGGGUGACCCCACCUUUAUCCGGGCCANCAUCGGUUUGGGCCGGG
This 250-nucleotide ribosomal RNA is filed under the name uncultured Saccharomycetaceae. RNAcentral's name for it is "partial 26S ribosomal RNA". It matches the Rfam family "Eukaryotic large subunit ribosomal RNA", at positions 265 to 510 of the family's 3401-position model. Lineage: Eukaryota; Fungi; Ascomycota; Saccharomycetes; Saccharomycetales; Saccharomycetaceae. The record is from RNAcentral.